Molecule: long non-coding RNA, 897 nt
Organism: Oncorhynchus tshawytscha (Chinook salmon)
Lineage: Eukaryota; Metazoa; Chordata; Actinopteri; Salmoniformes; Salmonidae
Source: Ensembl
GAGAGAGACAGAGGGAGGAGAGAGGGAGGAUAUUAGGAGGAGAGAGACAGAGAGGGAGGAUAUUAGGAGGAGAGAGACAGAGAGGGAGGAUAUUAGGAGGAGAGAGACCACUCCAAGGUCUGGGAAUGGGGAAGUAGAUGUGUCUCUACCACUCCAAGGUCUGGGAAUGGGGAAGUAGAUGUGUCUACCACUCCAAGGUCUGGGAAUGGGGAAGUAGAUGUGUCUACCACUCCAAGGUCUGGAAAUGGGGAAGUAGAUGUGUCUACCACUCCAAGGUCUGGGAAUGGGGAAGUAGAUGUGUCUACCACUCCAAGGUCUGGGAAUGGGGAAGUAGAUGUGUGUGUGUGGGAAGGUCUAAGCAUCAUAGAAAUUGUGUUACUAGAUCCGUACAGUAAAUCCUCUGUGUUUCUCCGGGUAAAUGUGACCAGUCCUGUGUGUGUGCCCUGAAUGGCACCCUGACCCCUCCAUAGUGCCCUCUGGACUGGAGCCGUAUGGGCCCUGGUCAAGUAGUGUAAAACAGAGACAAUAGGCUGCUAUUUAGGACACAGUCCUGGGAACCUUGUACAGUAUUAUGGCUGCUCACUCACACUGUGUGUGUGUGUGUGUAUAUAACACACUUGCUGUAUUAUCAUAUAAUUUCAGCUGUUUGUGAAUGUGAUAUUAGGAACCGUAAUGUUUAGAAGGAUCUUGACGGAGUAGAAGUGUUUUGUUACUAAAGGUAUUGAGUUACAAUGUGGACGGAUGGAAGACAGACAGACCGAGAGACAGACCGAGAGACAGACAUGAAGUCAGAGAGACAUGAAGUCAGACAGACAUGAAAACAGACAGAGAGACAUGAAGUCAGACAGAGAGACAUGAAGUCAGACAGAGAGACAUGAAGUCAGACAGAGAGACAGA